GCCUGGAUGGCGGAACUGGUAGACGCAAGGGACUUAAAAUCCCUCGGUUGAAAAGCUGUGCGGGUUCGAUUCCCGCUCCAGGCACCA
Molecule: transfer RNA, 87 nt
Filed under: Desulfobotulus mexicanus
Lineage: Bacteria; Pseudomonadati; Thermodesulfobacteriota; Desulfobacteria; Desulfobacterales; Desulfobacteraceae
Description: Desulfobotulus sp. PAR22N tRNA-Leu
Rfam family: tRNA
About the family: Transfer RNA (tRNA) molecules are approximately 80 nucleotides in length. Their secondary structure includes four short double-helical elements and three loops (D, anti-codon, and T loops).
Source: RNAcentral